GCUUCCGUAGUUCAAUGGAUAGAAUAUGGCCCUCCGAAGGCCGAGGUGCAGGUUCGAUUCCUGCCGGGAGCA
This 72-nucleotide transfer RNA is filed under the name Patescibacteria group bacterium. Its description in RNAcentral is "tRNA-Arg". It matches the Rfam family "tRNA". Rfam says of the family: Transfer RNA (tRNA) molecules are approximately 80 nucleotides in length. Their secondary structure includes four short double-helical elements and three loops (D, anti-codon, and T loops). The record is from RNAcentral.